RNAcentral lists this transfer RNA (87 nucleotides) under Candidatus Thorarchaeota archaeon. RNAcentral describes it as "tRNA-Leu". It matches the Rfam family "tRNA". From Rfam's summary of the family: Transfer RNA (tRNA) molecules are approximately 80 nucleotides in length. Their secondary structure includes four short double-helical elements and three loops (D, anti-codon, and T loops). Lineage: Archaea; Promethearchaeati; Candidatus Thorarchaeota. The record is from RNAcentral.
CGGAGGUUGCCAAGCCAGGUCAAAGGCGCUGGGUUUAGGACCCGGGGAAAUCUCGUAGGAGUUCGCGAGUUCAAAUCUCGCCCUCCG